GACCGCGAUGGGUAGCCGGCCUGAGAGGGUGAACGGCCACAAGGGGACUGAGACACGGCCCUUACUCCUACGGGAGGCAGCAGUGGGGAAUAUUGGACAAUGGACCAAAGUCUGAUCCAGCAAUUCUGUGUGCACGAUGACGGUCUUAGGAUUGUAAAGUGCUUUCAAUCGGGAAAAAGAAAGUGAUGGUACCGAUAGAAGAAGCGACGGCUAAAUACGUGCCAGCAGCCGCGGUAAUACGUAUGUCGCAAGCGUUAUCCGGAUUUAUUGGGCGUAAAGCGCGUCUAGGCGGUUUGGUAAGUCUGAUGUGGAAAUGCGGGGCUCAACUCCGUAUUGCGUUGGAAACUGCCAGACUAGAGUACUGGAGAGGUGGGCGGAACUACAAGUGUAGAGGUGAAAUUCGUAGAUAUUUGUAGGAAUGCCGAUAGAGAAGUCAGCUCACUGGACAGAUACU
Molecule: ribosomal RNA, 454 nt
Filed under: uncultured bacterium
Lineage: Bacteria
Description: bacterial SSU rRNA
Rfam family: Bacterial small subunit ribosomal RNA
Source: RNAcentral